UACGUAUGUGGCAAGCGUUGUCCGGAUUUAUUGGGUUUAAAGGGUGCGUAGGUGGCCCUGUAAGUCAGUGGUGAAAUAUCUCAGCUUAACUGAGAGGGUGCCAUUGAUACUGCAGGGCUUGAGUACAGAUGAGGUAGGCGGAAUUGACGGUGUAGCGGUGAAAUGCAUAGAUAUCGUCAAGAACACCGAUAGCGAAGGCAGCUUACCAAGCUGUAACUGACACUGAGGCACGAAAGUGUGGGGAUCAAACAGG
This 253-nucleotide ribosomal RNA is filed under the name uncultured bacterium. Its description in RNAcentral is "partial 16S ribosomal RNA". It matches the Rfam family "Bacterial small subunit ribosomal RNA", at positions 524 to 776 of the family's 1533-position model. The record is from RNAcentral.